AAGUCGUAACAAGGUUUCCGUAGGUGAACCUGCGGAAGGAUCAUUAACACGUAUCCAAACGUUAAACCCCCCUGUGAACCUUCACCUGUACUCGUACGUCCGUUAGAAAAAGCAGCAAUCCCUGGUAAAUCAUCGCCGAACAGUUUUCGAUUCAGGGAUGUCUGCAAGGAGCGUGCAUGUUGUGCGAGCAAGUGGCCUGGCAUCCCCAAGCAGUUAGUGUCUGAAAGUGUCAUUAACUGUGUAAGGAUGACGCAGUCACGAUCGUUGGAGGCCCACACGGCCGACGACCGGGUCACUGGGCGCAAGCCCCCCUAUAACAAACGCUGCUAAUCGCGGCCGCGAUAAUACGCAGUCGACCAAAAACCGAACAACUGUUAACAAUGGAUAUCUUGGUUCUC
This 398-nucleotide unclassified non-coding RNA is filed under the name fungal sp. RNAcentral describes it as "partial internal transcribed spacer region". The stretch from base 1 to 46 matches the Rfam family "Eukaryotic small subunit ribosomal RNA", at positions 1786 to 1831 of the family's 1831-position model. The record is from RNAcentral. Lineage: Eukaryota; Fungi.